GGGGAAUAUUGGGCAAUGGACGAAAGUCUGACCCGGCAAGGCCGCGGGAAGGAAGAGGGUUUUCGGGUUGUAAACUUCUUUAAAGGGGGAGAGGAGGAAGAGGUUACCCCGUGAAUAAGCCACGGCUAACUACGGGCCAGCAGCCGCGGUAAUACGUAGGUGGCAAGCGUUGUCCGGAUUUACUGGGUGUAAAGGGCGUGCAGCCGGGAAGGCAAGUCAGAUGUGAAAUCUGGAGGCUCAACCUCCAAACUGCAUUUGAAACUGCUUUUCUUGAGUAUCGGAGAGGUAAUCGGAAUUCCUUGUGUAGCGGUGAAAUGCGUAGAUAUAAGGAAGAACACCAGUGGCGAAGGCGGAUUACUGGACGACAACUGACGGUGAGGCGCGAAAGCGUGGGGAGCAAACA
This 403-nucleotide ribosomal RNA is filed under the name uncultured Oscillibacter sp. Its description in RNAcentral is "bacterial SSU rRNA". It matches the Rfam family "Bacterial small subunit ribosomal RNA", at positions 356 to 774 of the family's 1533-position model. Lineage: Bacteria; Bacillati; Bacillota; Clostridia; Eubacteriales; Oscillospiraceae. The record is from RNAcentral.